RNAcentral lists this unclassified non-coding RNA (189 nucleotides) under uncultured Russulales. RNAcentral's name for it is "sequence contains ITS1". Lineage: Eukaryota; Fungi; Basidiomycota; Agaricomycetes; Agaricales. The record is from RNAcentral.
UCGUACAACGGAGGUGCGAGGGUUGUCGCUGGCCCCUUCAAAGGUGUCGUGCACGCCCAAGCACACUCCCAUACAUCCAUCUCACACCUUUGUGCAUCACCGCGUGGGGUCACCCUUUAAUAAGGGGACUUGCGUUUUUACAUAGACACCCUUCGAAUGCAUGUGUAGAACGUCUUAUUAUUAUCAAUA